UGGGGAAUCUUCGGCAAUGGACGAAAGUCUGACCGAGCAACGCCGCGUGAGUGAAGAAGGUUUUCGGAUCGUAAAACUCUGUUGGUAGAGAAGAACGUUGGUGAGAGUGGAAAGCUCAUCAAGUGACGGUAACUACCCAGAAAGGGACGGCUAACUACGUGCAG
RNAcentral lists this ribosomal RNA (164 nucleotides) under uncultured bacterium. RNAcentral's name for it is "partial 16S ribosomal RNA". It matches the Rfam family "Bacterial small subunit ribosomal RNA", at positions 355 to 510 of the family's 1533-position model. The record is from RNAcentral.